RNAcentral lists this unclassified non-coding RNA (1003 nucleotides) under Hevea brasiliensis (rubber tree). The record is from RNAcentral. Lineage: Eukaryota; Viridiplantae; Streptophyta; Magnoliopsida; Malpighiales; Euphorbiaceae.
UAAUUAUGCUAGAUGUGUGAAUCAAAUUCUACAGAAUCUAAGCAAUAUGCAGUUGUGGCUAAGAAUUCCAUUGGAGAAAUCUGAUGAUGAUGAAGAUAGAAGUCCUAACUCUAUGGGUGAAGAACAUAGAGAUUCAUGGGAAAUGUGGAACUCAUUCCGCACUCUCGGUGAACAUCACAGUCAGCUUUCAGUUGCUCUUGAUAUUUUAUCCUCAUUACCCUCUGUGAAUUCACUUGCGCGGUGGUUUGGGGAGCCUGUUAGAGCUGCUAUAAUUAAUUCCAAUUCUUUUCUCACCAAUGCCCGUGGCUACCCCUGUUUGUCAAAACGACACCAAAAUCUAUUGACGGAUUUUUUCAAUCACUCAAUUCAGAUAGUCAUCUCUGGACAGCAAAUGCAGAAUUUCCCCACGGGAACUUCAGUGUCAAAUUCUCACAGUAGUAAUAAUCAAAGUGAGGGUGUUGAGGGCAUGCAGCGACAUCCGCUAAGGUCAUACCUGGACUACAUUGCUUAUUUAUACCAGAAGAUGGAUCCACUUCCUGAACAAGAACGCUUUGAGCUUGGUUAUAGGGAUUACUUACAGUCUCCCUUACAGCCUCUCAUGGACAAUUUGGAGGCCCAAACUUAUGAAACAUUUGAGAAAGAUACGACCAAGUACAUACAGUAUCAAAGAGCAGUUGCGAAAGCUUUAGUGGACAGGGUUCCAGAUGAAAAGGCAUCUACAAUCACUACUGUCUUGAUGGUUGUUGGGGCUGGACGUGGGCCUCUUGUCAGAGCUUCAUUGCAGGCUGCUGAAGAGACUGGACGCAAGUUGAAAGUUUAUGCUGUCGAGAAAAAUCCAAAUGCAAUCGUCACCCUACAUAGCUUACUAAAGAUUGAGGGCUGGGAAAAACUUGUCACCAUAGUUUCAAGUGACAUGCGCUGCUGGGAUGCUCCUGAGAAUGCUGAUAUUUUGGUUAGUGAAUUGCUUGGGUCAUUUGGAGACAAUGAGCUGUCACCUGAGUGU